CCUGAACGCUGGCGGCGUGGCUAAGACAUGCAAGUCGAACGGACGUAGCAAUACGUCAGUGGCGGACGGGUGAGUAAUGAAUCGCUAAUGUACCCUAGAGCCUGGGAUAGCUGCCCGAAAGGGCAGGUAAUACCAGAUGAAAUAUUCCGAUCGCAUGGUUGGAAUCUCAAAGCCGUAAGGCACUCCUGGAGCAGGCGAUUUCGUAUCAGCUAGNGGUGAGGUAACGGCUCACCAAGGCGACGACGCGUAGCCGGACUGAGAGGUUGACCGGCCACAUUGGGACUGAGACACUGCCCA
Molecule: ribosomal RNA, 297 nt
Filed under: uncultured bacterium
Lineage: Bacteria
Description: partial 16S ribosomal RNA
Rfam family: Bacterial small subunit ribosomal RNA
Source: RNAcentral